AAAACUUUCAACAACGGAUCUCUUGGUUCUGGCAUCGAUGAAGAACGCAGCGAAAUGCGAUAAGUAAUGUGAAUUGCAGAAUUCAGUGAAUCAUUGAAUCUUUGAACGCACAUUGCGCCC
RNAcentral lists this ribosomal RNA (120 nucleotides) under Protoblastenia calvella. RNAcentral describes it as "5.8S ribosomal RNA". It matches the Rfam family "5.8S ribosomal RNA", at positions 1 to 118 of the family's 154-position model. Rfam says of the family: 5.8S ribosomal RNA (5.8S rRNA) is a component of the large subunit of the eukaryotic ribosome. It is transcribed by RNA polymerase I as part of the 45S precursor that also contains 18S and 28S rRNA. The record is from RNAcentral. Lineage: Eukaryota; Fungi; Ascomycota; Lecanoromycetes; Lecanorales; Psoraceae.